This 180-nucleotide small nucleolar RNA is filed under the name Nannospalax galili (Upper Galilee mountains blind mole rat). RNAcentral's name for it is "Small nucleolar RNA U3 (ENSNGAG00000006590.1)". It matches the Rfam family "Small nucleolar RNA U3". Rfam says of the family: Small nucleolar RNAs (snoRNAs) are involved in the processing and modification of rRNA in the nucleolus. There are two main classes of snoRNAs: the box C/D class, and the box H/ACA class. Lineage: Eukaryota; Metazoa; Chordata; Mammalia; Rodentia; Spalacidae. The record is from Rfam by way of RNAcentral.
UAGAAUAAUUUUAAAUUUACAGAAACGCUGCAAAAAUAGUAGGGUUUCCCAUGAGGAGGAGGUACAGGGUGCAGUGUUUUCUCCUGAGCAUGAAGCUGGCUUGGGUGCUGCCUUUGCCAUUGAUGAUUGUUCUGCUGUGCCUCUGGUGGAGUUAGAGGGAGAGAACACAGUCUGAGUGGU